GUGGCUGUAGCUUAGUGGUAAAGCGCCAGUUUGUGGUACUGGAGAUCGGGAGUUCAAUCCUCCUCAGCCACC
This 72-nucleotide transfer RNA is filed under the name bacterium. Its description in RNAcentral is "tRNA-His". It matches the Rfam family "tRNA". Rfam says of the family: Transfer RNA (tRNA) molecules are approximately 80 nucleotides in length. RNAcentral also lists the same sequence under 1 other name. The record is from RNAcentral.